UUAACCUCAGAUCAGCGCAAGAUUACCCAGGUGAA
Molecule: ribosomal RNA, 35 nt
Filed under: Eunicella cavolini
Lineage: Eukaryota; Metazoa; Cnidaria; Anthozoa; Malacalcyonacea; Eunicellidae
Description: Eunicella cavolinii partial 28S ribosomal RNA
Source: RNAcentral